ACCCCCUGCCAGGGGGCUGUGGAGAGCCACAAGGUCCCCCCUGGGCAUGUACAUUUUUGGGGUUUACUUCAGAGACUGAGCUCCAGAGGACAGUUUCUACAGAAAGGACAGGCACAUCAUGAGGAUGUGAUCCCACUAUUAGCCUCGCUGCAGCCUGACAGAAAUACCAGCUGGAAAGCACCUGGAAAGGCAUUUUUGUGAUUUUUGAACCAUGCAGAGGCCUGGGAGAGCUUCUCCAAGGGACUCUGAGGGCUGAUGGAUAUUUUACACUUAGGGGAGCAGACUGUCCUCCCUAAAAUUCACACUAAGCA
RNAcentral lists this long non-coding RNA (311 nucleotides) under Parus major (Great Tit). RNAcentral's name for it is "lncRNA (ENSPMJG00000001571.1)". Lineage: Eukaryota; Metazoa; Chordata; Aves; Passeriformes; Paridae. The record is from RNAcentral.